This 69-nucleotide transfer RNA is filed under the name Rangifer tarandus (reindeer). Its description in RNAcentral is "tRNA-His". It matches the Rfam family "tRNA". Rfam says of the family: Transfer RNA (tRNA) molecules are approximately 80 nucleotides in length. Their secondary structure includes four short double-helical elements and three loops (D, anti-codon, and T loops). Lineage: Eukaryota; Metazoa; Chordata; Mammalia; Artiodactyla; Cervidae. The record is from RNAcentral.
GUAAAUAUAGUUUAAAAAAAACAUUAGACUGUGAAUCUGAUUAUAGGAGCUUGUAUCUCCUUAUUUGCC